RNAcentral lists this ribosomal RNA (263 nucleotides) under uncultured archaeon. Its description in RNAcentral is "partial 16S ribosomal RNA". It matches the Rfam family "Archaeal small subunit ribosomal RNA", at positions 722 to 982 of the family's 1478-position model. The record is from RNAcentral.
ACACGUCUACAUUAGAUACCCGUGUAGUCCCAGCCGUAAACUAUGCGCGUUAGGUGUAUCGGUGACCACGAGUCACCGAGGUGCCGAAGGGAAACCGUGAAACGUGCCGCCUGGGAAGUACGGUCGCAAGGCUGAAACUUAAGGAAUUGGCGGGGAGCACCACAACGGGUGGAGCCUGCGGUUUAAUUGGACUCAACGCCGGGAAGCUCACCGGAUAAGACAGCGGAAUGAUUGCCGGGCUGAAGACUCUGCAUGACUAGCUG